UACGUAGGGUGCGAGCGUUGUCCGGAAUUACUGGGCGUAAAGAGCUCGUAGGUGGUUUGUCGCGUCGUCUGUGAAUUCCGGGCUUAACUCCGGGCGUGCAGCGAUACGGGCAUAACUUGAGUGCUGUAGGGGAGACUGGAAUUCCUGGUGUAGCGGUGAAAUGCGCAGAUAUCAGGAGGAACACCGAUGGCGAAGGCAGGUCUCUGGGCAGUAACUGACGCUGAGGAGCGAAAGCAUGGGUAGCGAACAGGAUUAGAUACCCGCGUAGUCC
Molecule: ribosomal RNA, 271 nt
Filed under: uncultured bacterium
Lineage: Bacteria
Description: partial 16S ribosomal RNA
Rfam family: Bacterial small subunit ribosomal RNA
Source: RNAcentral